Molecule: ribosomal RNA, 4244 nt
Filed under: Plasmodium vivax Brazil I
Lineage: Eukaryota; Apicomplexa; Aconoidasida; Haemosporida; Plasmodiidae
Description: 28S ribosomal RNA
Rfam family: Eukaryotic large subunit ribosomal RNA
Source: RNAcentral
AAUCGUAAGUAUAUAUUCCUACUCUAGCGUCCGUUGAAUAUUACGUAACAAAAAGGAAGUUACUCGCACAUCAUGAAAAUAGAUAGAAAGGUAGUAAGUACUGCUCCGCGUUCUGCAUGCAGCGCUACUUUUGGUACAUUACGAGUUAGGAGGGCAAAUCCGCCGAAAAAAAUGUGUAUAACAAUUAAGCGGAAGAGAAGAAAAUAACAAUGAUUCCUUUAGUAACGGCGAGUGAACGAGGAUAAGCUCAACAGGAAAAUCCCUUAUUAGCGCGUGCUGGUGUAGGGAGUUGUCAAGUUGGAGUGACUUUCCAAUAUUCAGCUACGGUCGACUUAAUGGAGCGAAGCUGAGCAGAAAAUGCUCCCCCAUAGAAGGUUAAAGGCCUGUAGAUGGUCGGCCCAAUUGUUUGGAAUUUUGCUUGUAGAGUCGUGUUCUUUAAAAUUGGAGGGAGCACUAAUGUGUGUGAACGCAUUUCACAUAAAGCUAAAUAUGUGUAGGAAACCGAUAGCAAACAAGUACCGUGAGGGAAAGAUGAAAUAGAACUCAGGAAUGAGGAUUAAACAGAACCUGAAAUCGUUAAGGUGGAACGGAUUAAGGGAGGACCAACUAGUAUAGGGGGCUACAUGGUGAUGGAGCCUAUAAGUAGGUGAAAAUCACUCUCCAUAUAUUAUUAAGGAACAUCAGUGAAUUUACGGGUAUUCGCAACGAAAAUGAGCGACCAAGGGAGCGCAAAAAUUAGUAAUUUUUUUUUGGCUUCUUUACCCGCUUAGGCCUCACUCUAAUGAUAGGCAGUAGUAUUUUUCCGUUUAACGCUCGAAGUAGAAAGAGUGGAGAUUACCCGAUUUUAUUUGCUGAGGGGAGGACAAAGGUAGUAAAGCCGUCUUUAAAAUUUGCUGCCUUUUACUCGAUGUUCCCAAUGAAUGCUUUCUUAACCCACUCGUCUUGAAACACGGACCAAGGAGUCUACCAAAUGUGCGAGCGUAGGUGAUGGUACUAAACAUUAUGAAAAUAUUGUGGGGUUUUGCCCUUUAUGUUAAUACGCGUAAUUAACUAUGGAUGUUAAUUUGUUGUAGAUUUGGCAGGAAAGUUAAAAAGCUUCUCCUACCGAGGCAUACAAUACACACCGGUGAGCAGCUAUGCGUUUUACACCGAGUAGAAGAGCAUGUUUGAUAGGACCCGAGAGGCUUUGAACUAAGCGUGGUGAGAUUGAAGUCGGACGGACAAAGUCGUCUGAUGGAGGAUCGAAUUGGAUGCAAAAUCAUUCAAAUCAACUGCGUUUAGGGGCGAAAGACUAAUCGAAAGGCCUAUUAGCUGGUUAUUUUCGAAAGAUCUCUCAGGAUCGCUGGAGUUUAUGUAUUUUUUUGCCCGGUAGGGAACUCGACCGCAGGAGCCUAAUGGAACUCAGUUUCCUGUUGACCUGUCGUCAAGCUAUCGACGGUAAAAGAGGGUGACUAAUGGUAUAGCUGUAUGCAUGCAUUAUAUAUGCAUGUACGCAUGUAUGCACAUUUUAGCUCCCCCAAAUAUGAUGACUCCAAGUGGGCCUCUUCUGGUAAGCAGAAUGGGCGAUGAGGGAUGCUCCUAACGCUUGGAUAAGGUGCCUAAAUAUCCGCUCAUGAGAUCCCACAAAAAGGUGUUGGUCCGUUUUGACAGUAGGGCGGUGAUCAUCGAAGUCGAAAUCCGCUAAGGAGUGUGUAGCAACUCACCUACCGAAUGGAUUGGCCCUGAAAAUGGAUGGCGCUAAAGCGGAUUACCGAUACCAAGCCGUAAAAGGUUAUAAGAAAAGAAUUCCCUUCUUUUUUAGGACCCUUUUAUGAGUAGAAAAUCGUGGGGUUUUGUGCAGAAGCGAGAAACGUGAGUUCUCGUGGAACAUCUCCCUAGUGCAGAUCUUGGUGGAAGUAGCAACUAUUCAAAUGAGAACUUUGAAGACUGAUGUGGAGAAGGGUUUUUUGCCAACUGUGAUUGUGCAAAAGUUAGCCGCUCCUAAGAGUUAAACUGAAAGGUUUUAGAAAUAGGGGACAUACGAACCUGCUGCACAAACGAGUAAUAUUCACCUGUGUUUUCAAUAGGUUUUGCCCCUUAGCUCGAAAGGGAAACAGGUUAAUAUUCCUGUGCCGGUAGUAUUAAAAUGGGUAAAGAUAUAUAUAAGAGAUAUAUAUACAACACAAAGGUGGUAACAUAGAUAAAAAAUGAACUCCUUCACAUAGGCCUCUUACACUCGGGGUGCGUUUUCUUUGCACUUUAACUUAUAGCUGACCUUGGAAUAAGAGAAUUUACUUGGAGAGAAGGUUUGCUGAAUCGAGUCAGACGAAAACCCCAACAUAAAAAAGUGAAAAAGAAUUUCGAAUCUAUUCACCUUUUUUUUGUUGGCUUUCCUCAUGACUUGUAGCAAUAGUAAUUCGUUUUUAUGAAUUACCGAGGGCGUAAGGACUAUCCUUGAAAAGAGGAGGGAACAGCAGUACAGGAGAGGGUGAAUAAGGGGGGGAGAAUGGGCUUAGUUUUUCGGAACGACGUCAGAGAACCUUCUACGCAUCCUCUUCACAUGUAUUGUAUACUCUUAAUACUAAAAUAUGAGCGUACCGAAUAACCGCAUAAGGUCUCCAAGGUUAGAAGCCUCUGGUUAAAUAGAACAAAGUAAAGUAAGGGAAGUCGGCAAAAUUAAAUCCGUAACUUCGGAAAAAGGAUUGGCUCUGAUGGCAUUGGACAGGGUUGGAAAGGGAAAUACAAAGGUUGCAAGGUGAGUAGCAUAAUAGGGGGGCUUGUUUCAAGUAUCACCUUACGUCUAAUGGUGGGACCGCUUGGGGGGUAGGCGAAAUGCGAACCCCUAUGUGUUAGGCACUUGCAACCUCUUCCCCUCCGAAACUCCUCUUCUCUAAUCAUCCUUGGGAUUGUUCCACAACCCCUCAUGAUUUUAAGUAAUGUCAGCUCAGAACUGAAACGGAUACGGGGAAUUCGACUGUUUAAAAACAUAGCAUUGUGAAAAAGCCGCAAACAGUAGGCAUCUACACAGUGUGAUUUCUGCCCAGUGCUUUGAAUUAUCAAAUUGGUUGAAAGUUCAGUCAAGCGCAGGUUAAUGGCAGGAGUGCUCACUCUUAAUAGCCAUAUUGCCUCGUCAUAAAAAUUUACGACGCGCAUGGAUGGAUUAACGAAAUUCCCACUGUCCCUACUUGCUAUCUAGCGAAACCACAGCCAAGGGAAACGGGCUUGGCCAAAUCAGCUGGGAAAGAAGACCCUGUUCAGCUUUACUCCAGUCUGGCUUUGCGAAUCGACUUAAAAGGUGUAGCAUAAGUGGGAGUAAAUCAAAAGACGAAUCAGUUUUUUCCUUUACGACGGUGAAAUUACCACUACUUUUAAGUUGUUUCGCUUAUCCGUUGGUGGGGGUAAGAAGCAAGAAAUGCGUAUGCUUUUCUUCGGAUGGCAUGCGUAUUUUCUUGCUUCUUACCCCUAUUGAUGAGUUAAGUAAGAUGUAUAAUGUGAGGAGAAGUACUAACGGAGGGGGGAUAAACUGGAGGGGUAGCCUUCCUUUUUUUUUCUUCCUCACUUCUGCCUACACUUACAUGUUAUUUGCCUAUCCACCGCUUAUAUAUAUGUAUGGAGACAUAGCCAGGUGGGGAGUGUGUGACUGGUGCGGCGCACCUGCUAAUUUGCGGAGUGCGAAGGCAAGCUCAAGGAGAACAGAAAUCUCUUGUGGACUAAAAUGGGAAAAGCUUGCUUGAUUUCUACUUUCAGGAAAGAAGUGGGAAGCGCGAAAGCGUGGUCUUUAUAGAUACUUCGCAUUUGCAACAAAUGACGGAAGAUUUAUUUUCCUACUGUGCAUGCAGAGGUAUCUGGAAAGCUACACAGGGAUAACUGGCUUGUGGCUGCCGAGCGUUUUUAGCGACGUAGCUUUUUGAUCCUUCGAUGUCGGCUCUUCCUAUCAUUGGGACGCAGAAGUCUCAAAGUGUCGGAUUGUUCACCCCGCUAAUAGGGAACGUGAGCUGAGUUUUUAGACCGUCGUGAGACAGGUUAGUUUUACCCCUACUGAUGAAUAUACCUUAAACGUAUAAAGAAUUUAUAUAAAUGAUAUUGUGACAGUAAUCCAACUCGGUACGAGAGGAUCAGUUGGUUCAGACCUUUGGUACAGCAAUUGGUUGAAAAACCAGUGUUGCGAAGCUACGUCUGUUGGAUAAUGGCUGAACGCCUCUUAAGCCAGAACCCAUGCUGAUUAAACAAUAUUUAUUUUGACGGCCUUCUCUGUACGUAAUUCU